RNAcentral lists this transfer RNA (76 nucleotides) under Puniceicoccales bacterium. Its description in RNAcentral is "tRNA-Lys". It matches the Rfam family "tRNA". Rfam says of the family: Transfer RNA (tRNA) molecules are approximately 80 nucleotides in length. Their secondary structure includes four short double-helical elements and three loops (D, anti-codon, and T loops). Lineage: Bacteria; Pseudomonadati; Verrucomicrobiota; Opitutia; Puniceicoccales. The record is from RNAcentral.
GCCUGGCUAGCUCAAUUGGCAGAGCAGUUGACUCUUAAUCAAUUGGUUCGGGGUUCGAGUCCCCGGCCAGGUACCA